GCACGAGUCUUUGGGGGGGAUCCUGAUAU
Molecule: small RNA, 29 nt
Filed under: Bombyx mori (domestic silkworm)
Lineage: Eukaryota; Metazoa; Arthropoda; Insecta; Lepidoptera; Bombycidae
Description: ovarian small RNA-16357
Source: RNAcentral